Molecule: long non-coding RNA, 201 nt
Filed under: Solanum tuberosum (potato)
Lineage: Eukaryota; Viridiplantae; Streptophyta; Magnoliopsida; Solanales; Solanaceae
Description: long non-coding RNA (STUB_LNC006138)
Source: RNAcentral
GAGACUUUAGCUUGUAAUUGUAUUUUGACUAUGAGGGGAGCCGGUAGAAUGUCAUGGCCCCGUCCUAUCUAUGUAUGUAGAGGUGUGCGUUGGACAAGUAUUUUGUAAAUGAGCUUGACUCUUGUUCUAUGAUGUCAUUUUGAAAUGGUUUGCCUUUAGUCCCUAUUUCCCGUUAAUUAAUGUUGAAUGUACUUCCGCGAC